GGCGAACGGGUGAGUAACACGUGAGUAACCUGCCCUUGACUUUGGGAUAACUUCAGGAAACUGGGGCUAAUACCGGAUAGGAGCUCCUGCUGCAUGGUGGGGGUUGGAAAGUCUUCGGCGGUUGGGGAUGGACUCGCGGCUUAUCAGCUUGUUGGUGGGGUAGUGGCUUACCAAGGCUUUGACGGGUAGCCGGCCUGAGAGGGUGACCGGCCACAUUGGGACUGAGAUACGGCCCAG
RNAcentral lists this ribosomal RNA (237 nucleotides) under uncultured Actinomycetales bacterium. RNAcentral's name for it is "partial 16S ribosomal RNA". It matches the Rfam family "Bacterial small subunit ribosomal RNA", at positions 97 to 334 of the family's 1533-position model. The record is from RNAcentral. Lineage: Bacteria; Bacillati; Actinomycetota; Actinomycetes; Actinomycetales.